This is a long non-coding RNA of Brassica rapa (field mustard), 1203 nucleotides long. RefSeq lists it as uncharacterized. The record is from RefSeq and is a predicted model, not a curated record. NCBI's taxonomy places the organism in Eukaryota, Viridiplantae, Streptophyta, Magnoliopsida, Brassicales, Brassicaceae.
AUUUCUUUGAAUUGGAUUUUGAUCUAAACGUAAUUAAAUAACUCUAUUCAAUAAAGGUAAAAAAAAACAUUAUAGAACUCUCAAAUUUUAUGAAAAUGGGGAAAGUAAAAGAUUUUUGUUUCGUUCUUACGUAAGUGCAAAUAAAUAAUUGAGAUGUGGUGAAUAAUCAGCUAAAUUAGCCGGUAAUAUUGCUUAUUACACAUAAUACAAAAAAUAAAACAAAAAGUUUGAACAUCGUACAAUUUGUUUUUUAUUUGCUUGAAAAUGUAAAUUUAAAUAUCUGAUCGGACGGUUGCAUAACCAUUUACUCUUUCUUUUUAUAUUUUCGUCACUAUCAUCUUAAAAUGCCAGAAGAGAAAUUAACUUCGCCGUGUCAAGCAUAUGUCACACAGAAAAUAUUAUAGUUGGACACGUGUGUAGUCUGAAAAUGAGGGGCAUCUUUAGCUGGAUUUAAAGUUUAUGCAUCUUAUUUGGGCCUCAAUGAUAAGCCCGAUUUGUUGUAACCAAAUUGUCCUUUAGAGCCUUAACAACGACAAAAAAAGGAAGCGACUUCGUCUGUUAUCAGCUUCCUCCACCCCGUGAAGCUUCUUCUCCGUCCUCCUCCAACUUUCUUUACCAAGACAAAAACAAAUCGAAAUCAAAACUCGCAGAGAGAGAGAGACAGAGACAGAUUCAGAGAGCGAGAGAGAGAGAGAUUUGCCCGUGACAUAGCGAGGCAGGGAGAGAGAGAGAGAGAUCCGGCGUGGCGCAGAGAGGAGAGAGGCGGUGAGAGAGAGGAGACCGGUGGUGGUGACUCUCGUCUUCUCUACCGCUCAGUCUCCGUCAGUCUUUUCUCCAGCUCUUUCCCGUUUCAGAUCUAAUGAAGAAUCGUGAAAGUCCCCGGCGGCAUCGAAGAAGAAGAAGGAUUUGCCCUUUUUUUUGUGAAUCCGUAUUAUGAUUAGAAGCCCAUCACGAAUUAUAACAAAAUAAAGCCCAAGAAGAAUUCACUUAAAUGAAACGAUGCCGAGAGAAGCGUGGACACGUGUCAGCUAUAUAAAAAAGGAGUUUCCACGUGGACAGCCUAGGAGGGAGGCAAACAUAUUUAUAUAUAUAUAGACUAGGGAUUAACCCGGGCUACGCCCGGGAUUUUUAUUUUUUUCUAAUUUAAGUUGUUAAAUUAUUUAUAUUUAGGUUAUGAUAUAUAUUUAUAUAAAUGUUAAGAUA